RNAcentral lists this ribosomal RNA (660 nucleotides) under Triticum aestivum (bread wheat). RNAcentral's name for it is "partial small subunit ribosomal RNA". The record is from RNAcentral. Lineage: Eukaryota; Viridiplantae; Streptophyta; Magnoliopsida; Poales; Poaceae.
AUGAAGAGCAGGAGGCAGAGCGGCCGCGGAGGAGCCAUGCUGCCGGACGGCGGCUGCAGCGGCAAGAUGGAGCGCAAGGACGUGGAGAAGAACCGCAGGCUGCACAUGAAGGGCCUCUGCCUCAAGCUCUCCUCCCUCCUCCCCGCCUCAUCCGCACACCACCUCCGCCACUAUUCUUCUACAUCUUCCUCGCCGCCGUCCAGCAACAAGGACGCGGCGACGCAGCUGGACCAGCUCGACAGCGCGGCGGCGUACAUCAAGCAGCUCCGGGGCCGGAUCGACGACCUCAAGCGCCGAAAGCAGGCCGCCCUCUCCGGCAACACCGUUGGCUGCUCAUCCUCCGUCUCCGCCGGCGACUACAAGUCACAGACGGCAGCGCUGCCUGUGAUCGAGGUGCGUCACCAGGACGGCACCCUGGACGUGGCUCUGGCGAGCGAGGCCGGGCGGCCGUUCCGGCUGCACGAGGUGAUCGCCGUGCUGGAGCAGGAGGGCGCCGACGUGGUCAGCGCCAGCUUCUCUGUAGUCGGCGACAAGAUCUUCUACACUGUCCAUUCCCAGGCGCUCUGCCCCCGCAUCGGCCUCGACGCCGGCAGGGUCGCCCACCGGCUCCGUGGCCUCGCCGCAGCCGCCACCGUCUCGUCCUCCGUCCUCAUGACAUGA